GAUGAAGAACGCAGCGAAAUGCGAUAAGUAGUGUGAAUUGCAGAAUUCAGUGAAUCAUCGAAUCUUUGAACGCACAUUGCGCCCCUUGGUAUCCCGAGGGGCAUGCCUGUUCGAGCGUCAUUUCACCACUCAAGCCUGGCUUGGUGUUGGGCGACGUCCCCUUUGGGGACGCGCCUCGAAACGCUCGGCGGCGUGGCACCGGCUUUAAGCGUAGCAGAAUCUUUCGCUUUGGAAGUCGGGGCCCCGUCUGCCGGAAGACCUACUCGCAAGCUUGACCUCGGAUCAGGCAGGGAUACCCGCUGAACUUAAGCAUAUCAAUAAGCGGAGGA
Molecule: unclassified non-coding RNA, 329 nt
Filed under: soil metagenome
Description: partial contains 5.8S ribosomal RNA, internal transcribed spacer 2, and large subunit ribosomal RNA
Rfam family: 5.8S ribosomal RNA (bases 1-120)
Source: RNAcentral